GGACAAUUACUCAAGCGGUUCAAGAGGAUCGUCUCGAAAACGAUUAGUACCUUAAUAGGUAGCAUUGGUUCGAAUCCAAUAUUGUCCGCCA
Molecule: transfer RNA, 91 nt
Filed under: Mycoplasmataceae bacterium
Lineage: Bacteria; Bacillati; Mycoplasmatota; Mollicutes; Mycoplasmatales; Mycoplasmataceae
Description: tRNA-Ser
Rfam family: tRNA
About the family: Transfer RNA (tRNA) molecules are approximately 80 nucleotides in length. Their secondary structure includes four short double-helical elements and three loops (D, anti-codon, and T loops).
Source: RNAcentral